Molecule: long non-coding RNA, 1471 nt
Filed under: Coturnix japonica (Japanese quail)
Lineage: Eukaryota; Metazoa; Chordata; Aves; Galliformes; Phasianidae
Description: lncRNA (ENSCJPG00005012782.1)
Source: RNAcentral
CCGCUGGGUGCUCCGUGUGUCCCCUCCGGGGUCCAUGCCGAGCCUUAGGAGCUGCGCACCUCUCCAGGCUCCUCGGAGCCCAUCUGCAGGUGGCGGUGGUGUCCCGCCGCGUAGAGAUGUAUGUUCCCGCUGCUCCCCCCCUCCUGUUCCCCCCAGGAUCGAUGGGGGGAUAUUUUCGAUGUCACGGCGAUGAUCUCCAUACGCUAUAAAUAGCUCAGAAACGGGUAUUAACCACGAGUGCUCCGCCCCCUCCCCCUGCCCGCAGCGUGGGCCGGGCUGCGUGUCCACCUCCGCCCCCAGCAGUCACUGUGCCAGAAGCAACUCGACCCGACAGCGCUCGGCUGCUCCAUGAAAUAUUCAUAGCCCCGCGCCCGUCUGGCAGGGGUCCCAGCCCGGGCCUUUCUGCGCCCCAGCACCGCACAGCGCGCAGGCCCUGCGGGCAAACCUCUGUUUCCCCUGCUGUAGGGACGUCCCAUCCACCGCCACAAGCCUGUAUUUAUUUUGCUUCUAUAUUUUUCCACCUUAUCUCAAACAGUCGGAGGUGUUUGUUCGGGUGCGGGACACCGCGGCUGGAUACCGCCUGAGUGCGCACAGGUUUUGCCGGGGGAUGCUCGUUUUGUCCCCUUCCUUUUAAAGAGAUGAGAGAGGCCCGGCGGGGUCGUUGCUUAUUCAUAGGGGUCAGGACCCUCCCUUACGUCCUGCAGCAUCUCGGUGCGCACUCGGGGUGUUUGCCCCCGCUGGGACCCCCAGCAGCACAUCCCGACCCCACACCCCAGCAGCGGCGUCUCGGUGCCAACGCGCUGCCACCGCCCGCUGCAGCCGCCGGCCGAACGUUCCCACUCGGGACGGCGCACCCCAAAUCGCACCGCCGGGCUGUGGCAGGGGUCAGCGCCUCCCCAAAAGCCAAGGGCUGUCACCCCGCGGUGCUGCCGGUGGCGGUCCCCAGGUGCUGCGGCGGCAGCGGGAGGAUGAGGGUGAGGAUGAGGAUGGGGUGGGCUCAGCUCGGCGGGGUGGGCAGGGCCUGCGGGGCCGGGCAGGGCGCACAGCUCCGGCUGCCGCCGCCUCGGAGCCAGCCCCGCCGCGCCCUGCCGCCUCCCCCUCCGCCCCCGGCCUCCCCUCCCCGCUCUGCCCCUCUCCUCCCUCCCCGACCCCCUGCCCCUGCCCCUGCCCCGUCCUUCCGCGCCUCUCCAGAGCCCGUCCGUCCGUCCGUCCAUCAGAGGCAGGGGUGACCAGCAAAACAAAAACCUGCCAAGGACCCCCUGCUUGAGGCUGUUUUAUUCCAGCUGCCAGGAGGAUGCUCCCAUUGGUUCCCAGAGUGCUGAGGUGUCACGCCCUCUUCCAGUUCUCCCCCUGCUGCCUGUGCUGCUGACCUCAGCCCUCUGCCCCUGGCCCCUAAAGGUGAGUCUCACUCCACUACUGUUCCUUGUAGGGCUUUGCUUGUGUUUUCCUUCCUUUCCUUUGUUUUGGUGAU